CGAGCUCAGCGAGGUGCGCCGGCUCCUCGUCGCCGAGGACGCCGACGAUGCCGAGUCGCUGGAGCGGCUCACCGGGCUCGGCUUCCGCGAGCUCGUC
RNAcentral lists this transfer RNA (97 nucleotides) under Agromyces sp. NBRC 114283. RNAcentral describes it as "tRNA-Leu". The record is from RNAcentral. Lineage: Bacteria; Bacillati; Actinomycetota; Actinomycetes; Micrococcales; Microbacteriaceae.